CUUAGUGCGAUUGAUUUAGCGGCCGCCGUUCGAUCUUGUGCAGCAGCCGCGUGAUUCCAGCUCGAUAGCGUAUAUUAAAGUUGUUGCGGUUAAAAAGCUCGCAGUUGAACCUUGAACCUGGCUGGCCGGUCCGCCUCACCGCGUGCACUGUUCCGGCCGGGCCUUUCCCUCUGUGGAACCCCGUACCCUUCACUGGGCGUGGCGGGGAAACAGGACAUUUACUUUGAAAAAAUUAGAGUGCUCCAGGCAGGCCUAUGCUCGAAUACAUUAGCAUGGAAUAAUAAAAUAGGACGCGCGGUUCUAUUUUGUUGGUUUAUAGGACCGCCGUAAUGAUUAAUAGGGACAGUCGGGGGCAUCAGUAUUCAACUGUCAGAGGUGAAAUUCUUGGAUCAGUUGAAGACUAACUACUGCGAAAGCAUUUGCCAAGGAUGUUUUCAUUAAUCAGGAACGAAGGUUAGGGGAUCGAAGACGAUCAGAUACCGUCGUAGUCUUAACCAUAAACUAUGCCGACUAGGGAUCGGACGGUGUUAUUCAUGACCCGUUCGGCACCUUACGAGAAAUCAAAGUGCUUGGGCUCGCGGAGAGAUAGACAAAGUCGCAAGGCUGAAACUUAAAGAAAUUGACGGAAGGGCACCACCAGGGGUGGAGCCUGCGGCUUAAUUUGACUCAACACGGGGAAACUCACCAGGUCCAGACACAAUAAGGAUUGACAGAUUGAGAGCUCUUUCUGAUUUGUGGGUGGUGUGCAUGGCCGUUCUUAGUUGGUGGGGUGACUUGUCUGCUUAAUUGCGAUAACGAACGAGACCUUAACCUGCUAAAUAGCCCCGCAUUGCUUCG
This 837-nucleotide ribosomal RNA is filed under the name uncultured fungus. Its description in RNAcentral is "SSU rRNA". It matches the Rfam family "Eukaryotic small subunit ribosomal RNA", at positions 519 to 1373 of the family's 1831-position model. The record is from RNAcentral. Lineage: Eukaryota; Fungi.